Teleopsis dalmanni is the source of this 624-nucleotide long non-coding RNA. RefSeq lists it as uncharacterized. The transcript has 2 exons. The record is from RefSeq and is a predicted model, not a curated record. NCBI's taxonomy places the organism in Eukaryota, Metazoa, Arthropoda, Insecta, Diptera, Diopsidae.
UCAUCUAAUUUAUUUUAUAUGGUUAAUUUACUUGGAUCUACCAAUCCGUUCCAAAAAAGAAAUUGAUGUUGUAAACUAAAGUGAGUAUGCGAAUAUUGAAGUAGAAAAAAUAUAUGUGUUUGUAUUCAAACGAAGAAAAUUUUGCUCAUCGUCAAUUGGAAAAUAUUUUCGGAGCAUAUACAACAUGUAUGCUAGCCUGCGACCCUUCAUCAAGACUAUUGAGUUCAUAUGGGUUUCCGAACUGUGUCUGGUCACUAAGCUGGUUUGCAUCUUUAUGUUGAGCUUGGUGCUUACAUUGGCUGUUUUAAUCUAUCUGUCGAUGUUUGUGUUAUUAUUCACCACAAUUCAAUUUGUCCUAUCUAAUGGCUUGAACAUUACUUUUCCAAAAUAUUUGGAUCUAUUGAAACUAUUGGAACGCAUAAUUUAAGCUCAAAUCAAUACCUGUUUUCCGGCUUCCUAUUUUCGGAUGCUUCGCACAAUUUUUGUGGAAGGAUUUGAUCUUUUUGGAGCAACUCGGCUGCAUAAACCAAUUUUUAAUUAUGAGAAGACAGUUUUUUAAAUUAGAUUUCUCGAGAACCUUAAAAUGUUAAACAGUGAUAUAUCAAAAUCCUCUGUGAAAUUUGA